AUUGAACGCUGGCGGCAGACCUAACACAUGCAAGUCGAACGAGCGGCGGACGGGUGAGUAAUGUAUGGGAAUCUGCCCGAUGGAGGGGGAUAACUACUGGAAACGGUAGCUAAUACCGCAUACCAUCAGAUGUGCCCAGAUGGGAUUAGCUAGUAGGUGGGGUAAAGGCUCACCAAGGCGACGAUCCCUAGCUGGUCUGAGAGGAUGACCAGCCACACUGGGACUGAGACACGGGCCAGACUCCUACGGGAGGCAGCAGUGGGGAAUAUUGCACAAUGGGCGCAAGCCUGAUACAGCCAUGCCGCGUGUAUGAAGAAGGCCUUCGGGUUGUAAAGUACUUUCAGCGGGGAGGCGUUACCCGCAGAAGAAGCACCGGCUAACUCCGUGCCAGCCGCCGCGGUAAUAC
Molecule: ribosomal RNA, 406 nt
Filed under: uncultured bacterium
Lineage: Bacteria
Description: partial 16S ribosomal RNA
Rfam family: Bacterial small subunit ribosomal RNA
Source: RNAcentral